Molecule: ribosomal RNA, 253 nt
Filed under: uncultured bacterium
Lineage: Bacteria
Description: partial 16S ribosomal RNA
Rfam family: Bacterial small subunit ribosomal RNA
Source: RNAcentral
UACAGAGGUCCCAAGCGUUGUUCGGAUUCACUGGGCGUAAAGGGUGCGUAGGCGGCCGGGUAAGUCUGUUGUGAAAUCUCCAAGCUUAACUUGGAAACUGCAGUGGAUACUAUCCGGCUAGAGGAAUGGAGGGGAGACUGGAAUACUUGGUGUAGCAGUGAAAUGCGUAGAUAUCAAGUGGAACACCAGUGGCGAAGGCGAGUCUCUGGACAUUUCCUGACGCUGAGGCACGAAAGCCAGGGGAGCAAACGGG